This 229-nucleotide ribosomal RNA is filed under the name uncultured bacterium. RNAcentral describes it as "partial 16S ribosomal RNA". It matches the Rfam family "Bacterial small subunit ribosomal RNA", at positions 118 to 346 of the family's 1533-position model. The record is from RNAcentral.
UGAGGAACAUGACCUUCGGCGGGGGAUAGCCGGCCCAACGGCCGGGUAAUACCGCGUACGACCACAUGGGGACAUCCCUGAGUGGUGAAAGCAGCAAUGCGCCGAUGGAGUGCCUCGCGGCCUAUCAGCUAGUUGGUGAGGUAACGGCUCACCAAGGCGAUGACGGGUAGCUGGUCUGAGAGGAUGGCCAGCCACAUUGGGACUGAGACACGGCCCAGAUCCUACGGGG